RNAcentral lists this ribosomal RNA (497 nucleotides) under uncultured Glomeromycotina. RNAcentral's name for it is "partial small subunit ribosomal RNA". It matches the Rfam family "Eukaryotic small subunit ribosomal RNA", at positions 591 to 1092 of the family's 1831-position model. The record is from RNAcentral. Lineage: Eukaryota; Fungi; Glomeromycota.
CCAAUAGCGUAUAUUAAAGUUGUUGCAGUUAAAAAGCUCGUAGUUGAAUUUCGGAGUCAAUUUAUCGGUCGUGCCUAUGGUACGUACUGGUAUUGUUGAUUCCUCUCUUCUGAGGAGCCGCGAUGUCAUUAACUUGGUGUCGCGGGGAAUCAGGACUGUUACUUUGAAAAAAUUAGAGUGUUUAAAGCAGGCUAACGCUUGAAUACAUUAGCAUGGAAUAAUGAAAUAGGACGUUUGAUUCUAUUUUGUUGGUUUCUAGGGUCGACGUAAUGAUUAAUAGGGAUAGUUGGGGGCAUUAGUAUUCAAUUGUCAGAGGUGAAAUUCUUGGAUUUAUUGAAGACUAACUACUGCGAAAGCAUUUGCCAAGGAUGUUUUCAUUAAUCAAGAACGAAAGUUAGGGGAUCGAAGACGAUCAGAUACCGUCGUAGUCUUAACCAUAAACUAUGCCGACUAGGGAUCGGAUGAUAAUUUUUUAAUGACUCAUUCGGCGCCUUACG